RNAcentral lists this transfer RNA (69 nucleotides) under Scaphiodonichthys acanthopterus. RNAcentral describes it as "tRNA-Asp". It matches the Rfam family "tRNA". Rfam says of the family: Transfer RNA (tRNA) molecules are approximately 80 nucleotides in length. Their secondary structure includes four short double-helical elements and three loops (D, anti-codon, and T loops). The record is from RNAcentral. Lineage: Eukaryota; Metazoa; Chordata; Actinopteri; Cypriniformes; Cyprinidae.
GACAUUAGUAAAAUGAAAAUACACCACCUUGUCAAGGUGGAAUUGUGAGUUAAACCCUCACAUGUCUUA